Centruroides sculpturatus (bark scorpion) is the source of this 74-nucleotide non-coding RNA. NCBI's taxonomy places the organism in Eukaryota, Metazoa, Arthropoda, Arachnida, Scorpiones, Buthidae. The record is from the annotation of a RefSeq genome assembly.
GGCGCCGUGGCUUAGUUGGUUAAAGUGCCUGUCUAGUAAACAGGAGAUCACGAGUUCGAGUCUCGUCGGUCUCU